CCUACGGGGCGCAGCAGUGAGGAAUAUUGGUCAAUGGGCGCGAGCCUGAACCAGCCAAGUCGCGUGAGGGAGGACGGCCCUACGGGUUGUAAACCUCUUUUGCCGGGGAGCAACGGGCGUCACGUGUGGCGCCACUGAGAGUACCCGGAGAAAAAGCAUCGGCUAACUCCGUGCCAGCAGCCGCGGUAAUACGGAGGCUGCGAGCGUUAUCCGGAUUUAUUGGGUUUAAAGGGUGCGUAGGCGGAUCGUUAAGUCAGUGGUCAAAUUGAGGGGCUCAACCCCUUCCCGCCAUUGAAACUGGCGUUCUUGAGUGGAAGAGAAGUAUGCGGAAUGCGUGGUGUAGCGGUGAAAUGCAUAGAUAUCACGCAGAACCCCGAUUGCGAAGGCAGCAUGCCGGCUUCCGACUGACGCUGAAGCACGAAAGCGUGGAGAUCGAACAGGAUUAGAUACCCUUGUAGUC
This 460-nucleotide ribosomal RNA is filed under the name uncultured bacterium. RNAcentral's name for it is "partial 16S ribosomal RNA". It matches the Rfam family "Bacterial small subunit ribosomal RNA", at positions 338 to 795 of the family's 1533-position model. The record is from RNAcentral.